Molecule: ribosomal RNA, 538 nt
Filed under: actinobacterium FB5
Lineage: Bacteria; Bacillati; Actinomycetota; Actinomycetes
Description: bacterial SSU rRNA
Rfam family: Bacterial small subunit ribosomal RNA
Source: RNAcentral
CCUACGGGAGGCAGCAGUGGGGAAUAUUGCACAAUGGGCGCAAGCCUGAUGCAGCAACGCCGCGUGAGGGACGACGGCCUUCGGGUUGUAAACCUCUUUUAGCAGGGAAGAAGCGAAAGUGACGGUACCUGCAGAAAAAGCACCGGCUAACUACGUGCCAGCAGCCGCGGUAAUACGUAGGGUGCAAGCGUUGUCCGGAAUUAUUGGGCGUAAAGAGCUCGUAGGCGGUUUGUCACGUCUGCUGUGAAAUCCCGAGGCUCAACCUCGGGCUUGCAGUGGGUACGGGCAGACUAGAGUGCGGUAGGGGAGAUUGGAAUUCCUGGUGUAGCGGUGGAAUGCGCAGAUAUCAGGAGGAACACCGAUGGCGAAGGCAGAUCUCUGGGCCGUAACUGACGCUGAGGAGCGAAAGCAUGGGGAGCAAACAGGCUUAGAUACCCUGGUAGUCCAUGCCGUAAACGUUGGGAACUAGAUGUGGGGACCAUUCCACGGUCUCCGUGUCGUAGCUAACGCAUUAAGUCUCCGCCUGGAUACGACCAUG